AAGAGACAGCAGUAGCCGCGGUAAUACGGAGGGUGCAAGCGUUAAUCGGAAUUACUGGGCGUAAAGCGCACGCAGGCGGUCUGACAAGUCAGAUGUGAAAUCCCCGGGCUUAACCUGGGAACUGCAUUUGAAACUGUCAGGCUGGAGUCUUGUAGAGGGGGGUGGAAUUCCAGGUGUAGCGGUGAAAUGCGUAGAGAUCUGGAGGAAUACCGGUGGCGAAGGCGGCCCCCUGGACAAAGACUGACGCUCAGGUGCGAAAGCGUGGGGAGCAAACAGGAUUAGAGACCCGGGUAGUCCCUGUCUCUUAUAC
RNAcentral lists this ribosomal RNA (310 nucleotides) under uncultured bacterium. RNAcentral describes it as "partial 16S ribosomal RNA". It matches the Rfam family "Bacterial small subunit ribosomal RNA", at positions 503 to 807 of the family's 1533-position model. The record is from RNAcentral.